Molecule: long non-coding RNA, 1006 nt
Filed under: Homo sapiens (human)
Lineage: Eukaryota; Metazoa; Chordata; Mammalia; Primates; Hominidae
Description: HSALNT0185422
Source: RNAcentral
GGACCCCCCAUCGCACGGGGGAGAGGGACCCCCCGCGAGGCAGGGACGGAGAGCCUGCCGCUCUUCCCCCCGUGGCUCAUAGGACCCCCAUCGCAGGCGCUUGGCACCCCACGCGAGGCGGGUACUGAGAGCCAGCUCCUCUUCACCCCGGGUCUCUUAGGACUGCCAUCGCAGGGGGGUAGAGGUACCCCAUGCAAGGCGGGGACUGAGAGUCAGCCCCUCUUCACCUCUCGCUCUUAGGCCCCCAUCGCGGGGGGGGAGGCACCCCAUGCGAGGCGGGGAUUGAGAGCCAGCCCCACUUCCCCCCUGACUCUUGGGACCACCAUCGCAGUGGGGGCAGGUACACACCGCGAGGCGGGGACUGACAGCCAGCAACUCUUCUGCCCCGGGCUCUUGGGACCCCCAUCGCAGGGGCGGGAGGCACCCCAUGCGAGGCGGGGACUGAGAGCCAGCCCCACUUCCCCCCUGGCUCUUGGGACCACCAUCGCAGUGGGGGGAGGUACACACCACGAGGCGGGGACGGAGAGUCAGCCCCUCUUCCCCCACUGGCUUUUGGGACACCCAUCCCGGGGGGGAGGCACCCCCCGUGAGGCACGGACUGAGAGCCAGCCCCUCUUCCCCCACUGGCUAAGACCCCCAUUGCGGAUCCUAAGAUCCUUAGGACCCACCUGGAGGACUGUGGGUAUUAGGUGUCCAAGAAGAAAGCUCAGAUCUGCCGACGGCAGGUACCUUACUUGGGAUUUUCUAUACGACAGGGGUCCGAACGCAGCCCGGGAUCAGAAAGAAAGCAGGUCGUUUGCAAUCUACCGGAGCCUAAGGGCAGAAGGCAGGACCGUGGGAACAAUAUGCCAGGGGGAUUUCCACUUUCUGCCAUAUAUGUAGUCACAUCACCCACUCUGCUUUGGAAUAUUAUUAAGGACCAUCUAACACGAGGGUGUAUACGUCCUGCAAUACUACGAGUAAUAUCAACUUCUUGGCCUCUGAAUAUGAGGAAGAAUAUCACAGG